UUUUAUUUGAGAGUUUGAUCCUGGCUCAGGAUGAACGCUGGCGGCGUGCCUAACACAUGCAAGUUGAGCGAUUUCCUUCGGUAAAGAGCGGCGGACGGGUGAGUAACGCGUGGGUAACCUACCCUGUACACACGGAUAACAUACCGAAAGGUAUGCUAAUACGGGAUAA
Molecule: ribosomal RNA, 169 nt
Filed under: Clostridioides difficile
Lineage: Bacteria; Bacillati; Bacillota; Clostridia; Peptostreptococcales; Peptostreptococcaceae
Description: partial 16S ribosomal RNA
Rfam family: Bacterial small subunit ribosomal RNA
Source: RNAcentral